This 446-nucleotide ribosomal RNA is filed under the name uncultured bacterium. Its description in RNAcentral is "partial 16S ribosomal RNA". It matches the Rfam family "Bacterial small subunit ribosomal RNA", at positions 329 to 792 of the family's 1533-position model. The record is from RNAcentral.
CGCCAGACUCCUACGGGAGGCAGCAGUGGGGGAUAUUGCACAAUGGGGGAAACCCUGAUGCAGCGACGCCGCGUGGGUGAAGAAGCGCCUCGGCGCGUAAAGCCCUGUCAGCAGGGAAGAAAAUGACGGUACCUGAAGAAGAAGCCCCGGCUAACUACGUGCCAGCAGCCGCGGUAAUACGUAGGGGGCAAGCGUUAUCCGGAUUCACUGGGUGUAAAGGGAGCGUAGACGGCGGCGCAAGUCUGGAGUGAAAGCCCGGGGCCCAACCCCGGGACUGCUCUGGAAACUGCGGCGCUGGAGUGCAGGAGGGGCAGGCGGAAUUCCUGGUGUAGCGGUGAGAUGCGUAGAUAUCAGGAGGAACACCGGUGGCGAAGGCGGCCUGCUGGACUGCGACUGACGUUGAGGCCCGAAAGCGUGGGGAGCAAACAGGAUUAGAUACCCCAGUA